UGCGUAGGCGGAAUUUUAAGUCAGUGGUGAAAUCCUGCAGCUUAACUGUAGAACUGCCAUUGAUACUGAUAUUCUUGAAUUUAGUUGAGGUGGGCGGAACGUGUAAUGUAGCGGUGAAAUGCUUAGAUAUUACACAGAACACCGAUUGCGAAGGCAGCUCACUAAACUAACAUUGACGCUGAGGCACGAAAGCGUGGGUAGCGAACAGGAUUAGAUACCCUGGUAGUCC
This 229-nucleotide ribosomal RNA is filed under the name uncultured bacterium. Its description in RNAcentral is "partial 16S ribosomal RNA". It matches the Rfam family "Bacterial small subunit ribosomal RNA", at positions 568 to 796 of the family's 1533-position model. The record is from RNAcentral.